Non-coding RNA from Salmo salar (Atlantic salmon), 3332 nucleotides. NCBI's taxonomy places the organism in Eukaryota, Metazoa, Chordata, Actinopteri, Salmoniformes, Salmonidae. The record is from RefSeq and is a predicted model, not a curated record.
GGGUCUCUGAUCUGACUGGAGGAGCUACAUGGAUUUCGUCUUAUCUCACUUCUACUUACCAACUUCUCUCUCAAUGACUCUAGGCACGUCACCGGGCUGGUGUGUGUGUGUGACAGGACAAGACAGGCCUGGACAGUUGUGUUUGUGUCGGUGUGUGUGGUGAAGUGUUGCGAUGCGGCUCUUGCUCCUCCACGGUGUGUUUUUCCUCCAGUGUGUGCGGUUAUCCCAGCAGCAGUUUCCCCGUCUCUGCGCCACCACGGAGGCCCUGCUCUCUAAGGAGUGCUGCCCGGUCUGGGAUGGGGAUGGCUCGGCUUGCGGGGCCAGCUCUGGCAGAGGGUUCUGCCGGGACGUGGAGGUAUCGGAUCUACCCAACGGGCUGAAUUACCCGUUCUCCGGCUUGGACGACAGAGAGAGGUGGCCUCUGGUGUUUUAUAACCGGACCUGCCAGUGCGCCUCCAACUACAUGGGGUUCAACUGCGGAGAGUGCCAGUUCGGGCUGUUUGGUACUAACUGCGGGGAGAGGAGAGAGUCCGUGAGGCGGAACGUGUUUCACCUUUCGGCGGCGGAAAGGCGGAAACUAAUCUCUUACCUCAACCUGGCCAAGCACACAGUCAGCCAGGAUUACGUCAUAGCUACCGGGACCUACCGGGAGAUGAAUAACGGGAGCACCCCACUGUUCUCUGACGUCUCGACCUAUGACGUGUUUGUGUGGAUGCACUACUAUGUCUCGAGGAAUGCUCUUCUCGGUGGACCGGGGAAUGUCUGGACAGAUGUGGAUUUCGCCCACUGGGCUCCCGCCUUUCUGCCGUGGCACCGUGCGUACCUGCUGCACUGGGAGCGUGAUAUUCGGAAGCUGACCGGGGACUUUGAGUUCUCCAUCCCGUACUGGGACUGGCGGGACGCGCAGGGCUGUGACGUCUGCACCGACGACCUGAUGGGCGCCCGGAGCCCGCGAGACCCCAACCUCAUCAGCCCGGCUUCAGUGUUCUCUUCCUGGAAGGUGAUGUGUUCGCGUGCGGAAGACUACAGCGUGAGGGGGGUGCUGUGUGACGGUAGCGACGAGGGGCCGUUGCUGCGUAACCCUGGCAACCACAACCGUAACUUGGUUCCACGGUUGCCAACGGCAGCAGAGGUGGAGUUCACGGUCAGUCUCCGUGACUACGACACGGGAGCCAUGGACCGCUCCGCUAACUUCAGCUUCAGAAACACAAUGGAAGGUUUUGGGAACCCUCAGACAGGCCUGGGUAACAGUAGGGUGAUGGGGAUGCACGCCUCUCUUCACAUCUUCAUGAAUGGCUCCAUGUCUUCAGUUCAGGGGUCAGCUAAUGACCCUAUUUUCCUACUGCACCACUCCUACGUCGACAGUAUCUAUGAGCAGUGGUUGAGGAGACAUGCUCCAGAGCAGACCCAAUACCCAGAGUUCAAUGCUCCCAUCGGCCACAACAGGCAGUACCACAUGGUGCCCUUCAUACCUCUACACAGGAACAUAGAAUACUUCACCUCCAGCAAAGACCUGGGGUACGAAUACUCCUACAUGCUCGACUCAGACCAGAGGAUAUCGGAGGUUCUCAGUCCUUACCUGGAACUGAUGAUGGAGGCGUGGCCCUGGUUGCUAGGGGCGUUGGUCCUGGGGGCCCUGGUAGCUAUGACUGUGGCUGCGGUAGCUGUGACUAUGACCCGGGUGUGUUGGGGUGCGUGGCCAUGGCAACGUGGGGAGAAGAGUUCAGCGUUCCAGCUACCAGAAAGGGAACCUCUCAUCAUCAGCAGUGAUAGUGAUACCCCCAACUACCACACUGUUUAGCCCCAACUACCACACUGUUUAGCCCCAACAACCACACUAUAUACCCCCAACUACCACACUGUUUAGCCCCAACUACCACACUGUUUAGCCCCAACUACCCCACUAUUUAGCCCCAACAACCACACUAUAUAUCCCCAACUGCCACACUGUUAAGUCCCAACUACCCCACUAUAUACCCCCAACUACCACACUGUUUAGCCCCAACUACCACACUGUUUAGUCCCAACUACCCCACUACAUACCCCCAACUACCACACUGUUUAGCCCCAACUACCACACUGUUUAGCCCCAACAACCCCACUAUUUAGCCCCAACUACCCCAAAUGCCACACUGUUUAUCCCCAACUACCACACUGUUUAGCCCCAACUACCACACUGUUUAGCCCCAACAACCCCACUAUUUAGCCCCAACUACCCCAAAUGCCACACUGUUUAUCCCCAACUACCACACUGUUUAGCCCCAACUACCACACUAUUUAGCCCCAACAACCACACUAUUUAGCCCCAACUACCCCACUAUUUAGCCCCAACAACCACACUGUUUAGCCCCAACUACCCCACUAUUUAUCCCCAACUACCCCAAAUGCCACAUUGUUUAUCCCCAACUACCACACUGUUUAUCCCCAAAUGCCCCACUAUUUAGCCCCAACAACCACACUGUUUAGCCCCAACAACCACACUGUUUAGCCCCAACAACCACACUGUUUAGCCCCAACAACCACACUGUUUAGCCCCAACUACCACACUGUUUAGCCCCAACAACCACACUGUUUAGCCCUAACUACCCCACUGUUUAGCCCCAACUACCCCACUUUUUAGCCCCAACUACCACACUGUUUAGCCCCAAAUGCCCCACUAUUUAGCCCCAACAACCACACUGUUUAGCCCCAACAACCACACUGUUUAGCCCCAACAACCACACUGUUUAGCCCCAACUACCACACUGUUUAGCCCCAACAACCACACUAUAUAGCCCCAACUACCACACUGUUUAGCCCCAACUACCACACUGUUUAGCCCCAACAACCACACUGUUUAACCCCAACAACCACACUGUUUAGCCCCAACUACCCCACUGUUUAGCCCCAACAACCACACUGUUUAGCCCCAACUACCCCACUGUUUAGCCCCAACUACCACACUAUUUAGCCCCAACUACCACACUGUUUAGCCCCAACUACCCCACUGUUUAGCCCCAACUACCACACUGUUUAGCCCCAACUACCCCACUGUUUAGCCCCAACAACCACACUCUUUAGCCCCAACAACCACACUGUUUAGCCCCAACAACCACGCUGUGUAGCUCCAACUACCACACUGUAUAGCCCCAACAAUCACAUUGUUUAGCCCCAGCAACUAUACAGCCAACUCCUAGCCCUGCAACCCUAGGCUACAGCCAAGCCGUAACCUUUAAAUUACCACCCAGACAAUUCCUUGCCUAUCUGCCACACCUGCCAACAUGUGACGGGGCCCUAUGUACAGUUGAUGUCGGUAGUUAACAUACACCUUAGCCAAAUACAUUUAAAAUCAG